GUGGGGGAUAUUGCACAAUGGGCGAAAGCCUGAUGCAGCGACGCCGCGUGAGGGAAGACGGCCUUCGGGUUGUAAACCUCUGUCUUUGGGGACGAUAAUGACGGUACCCAAGGAGGAAGCUCCGGCUAACUACGUGCCAGCAGCCGCGGUAAUACGUAGGGAGCGAGCGUUGUCCGGAAUUACUGGGUGUAAAGGGAGCGUAGGCGGGAAUGCAAGUUGGAUGUGAAAACUCCGGGCUUAACCCGGAGACUGCAUUCAAAACUGUAUUUCUUGAGUGAUGUAGAGGCAGGCGGAAUUCCUAGUGUAGCGGUGAAAUGCGUAGAUAUUAGGAGGAACACCAGUGGCGAAGGCGGCCUGCUGGGCAUUUACUGACGCUGAGGCUCGAAAGUGUGGGGAGCAAACAGGA
Molecule: ribosomal RNA, 406 nt
Filed under: uncultured bacterium
Lineage: Bacteria
Description: bacterial SSU rRNA
Rfam family: Bacterial small subunit ribosomal RNA
Source: RNAcentral